Molecule: long non-coding RNA, 1486 nt
Filed under: Vigna radiata
Lineage: Eukaryota; Viridiplantae; Streptophyta; Magnoliopsida; Fabales; Fabaceae
Description: long non-coding RNA (VRAD_LNC002926)
Source: RNAcentral
UAUAUGCCAAUUAAAAUCGUUAAUGAAACCGGUCUCAAGUUUGGUUUAUAUAGAAAAACAAAUUCUUGAUGCAGAUUAAUCGAUUACGUAAUCAACAAGUCGAGCUUUGUAAUUUUCUUUUAAAUGCAUAGAUGUUCGACCUAAUGAAAGAUUAUAGCAAGAAUUUCUUUUGUCAUGCUAUUCAAAAUGUACACUGUAAAGUUUGUAAGAACUUCCUUUGUUGAAGAGUAAUCGUUUAGCUUGGAAGGUUCUUGUAUUUGGAAAAAAAAANUCAAUUGUUAUCCUCACCACCCUCAAAUCAAAUUACAAUACAAAUAAGAGAGGAAAGCACUCACUCCCACCCAAUACAAGAGAUGGACACCCUCAAUCUUUAAGCUNGCCUACUCACACAUGUUCUANAUAAUGUAGAAAGAAUGAUACACUCAACAGAACACACUCUUCUAGUGUAGAUAUAUUAGCAACAACGAAGUCCACUUGAUCUUGAAUAAAUCUUUGAAUGUUUGAUCACCAAUGAAGUGUGAAAAUCCUUCAAGAACUGUUCCUGAGAGACCCUGUACUCAAAACACAAAAAACAAUGUCAGUAUAUGCCAAUUAAAAUCGUUAAUGAAACCGGUCUCAAGUUUGGUUUAUAUAGAAAAACAAAUUCUUGACGCAGAUUAAUCGAUUACGUAAUCAACAAGUCGAGCUUUGUAAUUUUCUUUUAAAUGCAUAGAUGUUCGACCUAAUGAAAGAUUAUAACAAGAAUUUCUUUUGUCAUGCUAUUCAGAAUGUACACUGUAAAGUUUGUAAGAACUUCCUUUGUUGAAGAGUAAUCGUUUAGCUUGGAAGGUUCUUGUAUUUGGAAAAAAAAACACAAUUGUAGGUUUUGUAAGAGAAGUGUUUAGACAAAAGAAGAGACAAAUGCACAAAUAUUUUAUACUAGUUCACUCCAACUGAGCUAUUCAAUCUCCUCCGUAGAGUGUUCCACUAUAAUCUUCAACAAGAUUACAAUUGAGUAUUUGCACCACUCCUGAUAUUCUCAGUCUACGAAUAACCACNUGUUACCAUAGACUGGAUGANUUUUCUCACACUCUUGGUCUACAGUUAGCGAAUAACCACGUGUUACCCUAGAAUAGAUUAGUAUUUGCACCACUCUUGGUACUAAGCAACAUUUCCUAGGUUUCCUUAACUCAAUUGAGUUCAACAAGUGUUUUACUUCUCUUCANAAUUGCAAUCAAAGAUUGCUUACAAGUCGUUUAGACUAUUACUCUCACAAAGAGGAUUUGAUUACAAUACAACAGACUAUACACUCGCAUGUGUUUCUCUCUUUUCUCUUUCUCUCUUUCUUAAAAUCAGUAAACAAUAUAACAAUGAAACUCGAGAGUAUUUCUUUUCUUCUUUUCUCUUCUUCACUUUUUUUUCUCAAAUAUUUUCUUUUUCUUGGGCUCUUUUUAUGCUUUUCUUUUGAACACUUCUCAAAGGAUGAAUAUUUCGUUGUAUGUUAUCC